Molecule: ribosomal RNA, 253 nt
Filed under: uncultured bacterium
Lineage: Bacteria
Description: partial 16S ribosomal RNA
Rfam family: Bacterial small subunit ribosomal RNA
Source: RNAcentral
UACGGAGGGUGCGAGCGUUGUCCGGAAUCACUGGGCGUAAAGGGCGCGUAGGCGGUCUGCUAAGCGUGUGGUGAAAGCUCGGGGCUCAACCCUGAGUCUGCCAUGCGAACUGGUGGACUUGAGCACUGUAGAGGCAGGUGGAAUUCCGGGUGUAGCGGUGGAAUGCGUAGAGAUCCGGAAGAACACCAGUGGCGAAGGCGGCCUGCUGGGCAGUUGCUGACGCUAAAGCGCGACAGCGUGGGGAGCAAACAGG